This 430-nucleotide ribosomal RNA is filed under the name uncultured Nitrospirales bacterium. Its description in RNAcentral is "bacterial SSU rRNA". It matches the Rfam family "Bacterial small subunit ribosomal RNA", at positions 355 to 776 of the family's 1533-position model. Lineage: Bacteria; Pseudomonadati; Nitrospirota; Nitrospiria; Nitrospirales. The record is from RNAcentral.
UGGGGAAUUUUCCGCAAUGGGCGAAAGCCUGACGGAGUGACGCCGCGUGUGGGAUGAAGGCCUUCGGGUCGUAAACCACUGUCAGUGGGAAAGAUGGGUGCCGGCGCGAUAACCGCCGGCAUCUGACGGUACCUGCAGAGGAAGCCCCGGCCAACUCUGUGCCAGCAGCCGCGGUAAGACAGAGGGGGCAAGCGUUGCUCGGAAUUACUGGGCGUAAAGGGCGCGUAGGCGGGAUGGCAAGUCGGUCGUGAAAUCCUUCGGCUCAACCGGAGAACGUCGAUCGAUACUGCCGUCCUUGAGGAUUGCAGAGGAGACUGGAAUUCCCGGUGUAGCGGUGAAAUGUGUAGAGAUCGGGAGGAACACCGGUGGCGAAGGCGGGUCUCUGGGCAAUUCCUGACGCUGAGGCGCGAAAGCGUGGGGAGCAAACGGG